Molecule: ribosomal RNA, 542 nt
Filed under: uncultured fungus
Lineage: Eukaryota; Fungi
Description: eukaryotic LSU rRNA
Rfam family: 5.8S ribosomal RNA (bases 171-324)
Source: RNAcentral
UCCGUAGGUGAACCUGCGGAAGGAUCAUUACCGAGAGUUGUAGGCUUCUGUCUACCAUCUCUUACCCAUGUCUUUUGCGUACUUAACGUUUCCUCGGCAGGUCCGCCUGCCGUAGGACAAUUAUAAACCAUUUGCAGUUGCAGUCAGCGUCUGAAAAACAUAAUAAUUACAACUUUUAACAACGGAUCUCUUGGUUCUGGCAUCGAUGAAGAACGCAGCGAAAUGCGAUAAGUAGUGUGAAUUGCAGAAUUCAGUGAAUCAUCGAAUCUUUGAACGCACAUUGCGCCCCUUGGUAUUCCAUGGGGCAUGCCUGUUCGAGCGUCAUUUGUACCUUCAAGCUCUGCUUGGUGUUGGGUGUUUGUCCCGCCUUUGUGCGCGGACUCGCCUUAAAGCAAUUGGCAGCCGGCGUAUAGAUUUCGGAGCGCAGCACAAUCCGCGCUUUGUACUCAUUACGACGACAUCCAUCAAGACAUUUUUUAACUCUUGACCUCGGAUCAGGUAGGGAUACCCGCUGAACUUAAGCAUAUCAAUAAGCGGAGGAA